UUCAAGCAAUGCACAGCUAGGGGCACCUUGUCUCGCUCCAAGGUGUAUAGCUCCUCAAAGAGCGUUUCCAUGGAGUCAAUCCACAUCUCCACGAUCCACGGAUCGACAUUCUCUCCAUCGAAGGUAGGCGGAUCAAAUUUCUUGAAAGUCAUUAGGGCCGCCAAAGUCCGUUCUUUCUCCGCCUCCAAUUCCACAGAACCAGGGGCCACCGCCCCCGAAUCCAUCGCGACUCCUGUCGGUACACGGCACGCUGCUACAAGCACAGCCGCCGCAGCUGUCGUGUCAACAAUUCAUGGAGCUCCUUGAUCUGCUCCUCCUGUCGCUGCACUACGCCCAUGAGCGUAUUCAAUUGCUCGCGGAGCAUCGGGUCUCCGCUCGCCUCAGCUUGCCCAGGAACACCACUUGUCCCUUCCCGCGCCGAUCUGGAUGAGGAUCGCCUACGCGGUGCCAUCGCUUCCUGAAACACGACAACUCGAUUAGCUCGACCAACUUGGGUCGAACACGAGACCACUAACAACGGCUCAAAAGCCAAUCAGACGAAAGUCACGCGAGGGCAUCUAUUCUCAUCACUAGGUUUCAUGUUGUCGUACGCCAACAUAAACAUCCUCGGCUGAGAAUAAAUCACACCUCAAGUCUACCUCUAAUAUUCGUCUUAGAGGUUUACGACACAACCCAAUCCAUUAAUCUUUCGCCACAAAUCAUAAGUCCUCGUCUCUCACAAGCCUUAUUCUCCUAUGGUUUACUAUCCUAGGUCUCCUAGGUCCGACUAAACCAUUUCCCAUUCUCUACUUUAUGCUCUGAUACCACUUUACCUGUCACGCCGCGCGACCAACCGCCAAUUUGAACUGGGUCGCGGCGCCGACGACAGACCGCCGAACGGACCGGGGUUUCCCCUGUACGCGGACAGAGUCUCCCCCGUACGUUCUAGGCGUCGCAACAAGUACAAUACAAAGGUUCCAACCAGGAACAGUACUCAGCAAACAGAAUUGCAUCAGGAAAGUAUCAAUCAACAUAAACACAUCCUAUGAUAUUACAUCCAUUCAUUUUACAUCACAAUUCCAUUACAUUCAACUUCCAAUACAAUUAAGUUAUUACAACAUUUAUUUAUUACAAUUUGAUACAUUUGCUUGCUUUCAUUUUCUAUACCCCUAAGCUACGUCGAUGGGGUACUGUUAGCUCUGGUCUCUGGGGGUAGGGCGCUAUCUAUAGAGCUACGCCCUUGCCUCGCGCCGCCGCGCCGCUCACGUGCGAACCUGUAAAACUCCAAAACAAUGUGGGGUGAGAACCAACUCCAUGGUUCCCAGUGGGUACGGCCACCCAAGGGAGGAGCUCGACCAACAGUCCAAGGGAGGCAAAUACAAGUUAGUCCAAUAAACAGAUAGAUAUGUAUAUCAUAAAUGCAACUAACUUUACCUUACUUUGCCUCACAACUGCAAUGAUGCCAUGCUAUAUGCAACAGGAAUAUAUGCAACUUGAAUAUAUGCAACAACUAGUAGAAUUAUUAAUUCUACGAUCAAUCUUGCUAAUCUUAGCUCAUGUCAUCCAACUCUAAGGUUUCUACUACCUUAGGUUUAACACAUUUACCACUAGCCCUCAAGGUUCUAUCUACCUUAUUCCAGCUAGCCACCCGACUCGGCCUCGAGUCAAUCAACUGCUGAUAAUCCGCGCUCUGCCCGGCUCGAGGUGAAGAACCCUGUCACAACGCACCUCAGCCUGCAGGCCAAGAACCACAUCGCCCAACGGUUCGCCCGAAGGUUCGUGCACCGUGGUCAGGGAUCCGCCAGUGGGAGAGGAAACAUCGCCGCAUACACCCAUAGCCAAGAUCCCCGAUAGGGAGAGGAUCAUGCCGCGUACACCCUAGCGCUCUCUGUUCUUGCUUAGUCAUAAUCCUCAAAGUUCUUUCCGGUGGGAGAGGAACAUCGCCGCAUACACCCGCGGUCCAAGAACUAUUGAGUUCACAAGUACUGGGAUUCCGGAAUCGACUUCACAAGUCAAGGGUCCAUAUCCAACCCUAUACUAUUGACCUAUCUAGGUCCAAUGCACUUUCCACCCUAGGUCCAACUGACUCUAGGUCUAAUGCCUCGAUGUCACAACCUAGGUUUACUUUAACUCUAGGUUCAGUUCUCAACCUAUAUUCUUUAACACUAGGUUAGAUGCCACUCGUUAUUUAUCCUAAGUUCAACAAUACUAGGUUCGAUGUCAUCUAUGUUCGACCUAUGUUUACUAACACUAGGUUAAUGCCACUCGAUCUACUUGAUAUCCGACUUGUCAUAUCAAGUCCAUAUGCACAUGCAUCUUAUCUAACAUGCUCACAUGAUGUUACAUGCACC
RNAcentral lists this long non-coding RNA (2330 nucleotides) under Ananas comosus (pineapple). RNAcentral's name for it is "long non-coding RNA (ACOM_LNC016622)". The record is from RNAcentral. Lineage: Eukaryota; Viridiplantae; Streptophyta; Magnoliopsida; Poales; Bromeliaceae.